Molecule: ribosomal RNA, 1238 nt
Filed under: uncultured bacterium
Lineage: Bacteria
Description: bacterial SSU rRNA
Rfam family: Bacterial small subunit ribosomal RNA
Source: RNAcentral
CAGGAUGAACGCUAGCGGCAGGCUUAACACAUGCCAGUCGAGGGGCAGCGAGAUCAGUGCCUGCACUGAUUGUCGGCGACCGGCGCACGGGUGCGUAACGCGUAUGCAACCUACCCAUUACAGGGGGAUAACACUGAGAAAUCGGUACUAAUACCCCAUAACAUCCAGGGAGGCAUCUUCUUGGGUUGAAAACUCCGGUGGUAAUGGAUGGGCAUGCGUUGUAUUAGUUAGUUGGUGGGGUAACGGCUCACCAAGACAACGAUACAUAGGGGGACUGAGAGGUUAACCCCCCACAUUGGUACUGAGACACGGACCAAACUCCUACGGGAGGCAGCAGUGAGGAAUAUUGGUCAAUGGACGCAAGUCUGAACCAGCCAUGCCGCGUGCAGGAAGACGGCUCUAUGAGUUGUAAACUGCUUUUGUACGAGGGUAAACGCAGAUACGCGUAUCUGUCUGAAAGUAUCGUACGAAUAAGGAUCGGCUAACUCCGUGCCAGCAGCCGCGGUAAUACGGAGGAUUCAAGCGUUAUCCGGAUUUAUUGGGUUUAAAGGGUGCGUAGGCGGUCGGAUAAGUUAGAGGUGAAAUCCCGGGGCUCAACUUCGGAAUUGCCUCUGAUACUGUUCGGCUAGAGAGUAGUUGCGGUAGGCGGAAUGUAUGGUGUAGCGGUGAAAUGCUUAGAGAUCAUACAGAACACCGAUUGCGAAGGCAGCUUACCAAGCUACUUCUGACGUUGAGGCACGAAUGCGUGGGGAGCAAACAGGAUUAGAUACCCUGGUAGUCCACGCAGUAAACGAUGAUAACUCGUUGUCGGCGAUACAGUGUCGGUGACUAAGCGAAAGCGAUAAGUUAUCCACCUGGGGAGUACGUUCGCAAGAAUGAAACUCAAAGGAAUUGACGGGGGCCCGCACAAGCGGAGGAACAUGUGGUUUAAUUUGAUGAUACGCGAGGAACCUUACCCGGGCUUGAAAGUUAGUGACGGAUCUUGAAAGAGGUAUUCCCUUCGGGGCACGAAACUAGGUGCUGCAUGGUUGUCGUCAGCUCGUGCCGUGAGGUGUCGGGUUAAGUCCCAUAACGAGCGCAACCCCUACCGUUAGUUGCCAGCAGGUCAAGCUGGGCACUCUGACGGGACUGCCGGUGUAAGCCGAGAGGAAGGUGGGGAUGACGUCAAAUCAGCACGGCCCUUACGUCCGGGGCUACACACGUGUUACAAUGGCAGGUACAGAGGGCAGCUACCCAGC